CCCUUAGAUGUCCUGGGCCGCACGCGCGUUACACUGAUGCAUUCAACGAGCUUAUAACCUUGGCCGAGAGGCCUGGGCAAUCUUGUUAACGUGCAUCGUGAUAGGGAUAGAUUAUUGAAAUUAUUAAUCUUGAACGAGGAAUUCCUAGUAAACGCAGAUCAUCAAUCUGCAUUGAUUACGUCCCUGCCCUUUGUACACACCGCCCGUCGCACCUACCGAUUGGAUGGUCCGGUGAAGCCUCGGGAUGAGGACUGGUGCCUUUAUUGGCAUGAGUUGUUCAGAACUUGUCUAAACCUUAUCAUCUAGAGGAAGGUGAAGUCGUAACA
RNAcentral lists this ribosomal RNA (326 nucleotides) under uncultured eukaryote. RNAcentral's name for it is "partial 18S ribosomal RNA". It matches the Rfam family "Eukaryotic small subunit ribosomal RNA", at positions 1470 to 1796 of the family's 1831-position model. The record is from RNAcentral.